RNAcentral lists this long non-coding RNA (619 nucleotides) under Sus scrofa (pig). Its description in RNAcentral is "lncRNA (ENSSSCG00070023825.1)". Lineage: Eukaryota; Metazoa; Chordata; Mammalia; Artiodactyla; Suidae. The record is from RNAcentral.
GUGUGAUUGUUUAUCAGUAUCCUGACAAGAUUAAUCUUACACAGUUUUCAAUAAAUUUGCAUUUUCGUUGUGUUUUGUCCAAUGAAAUUUACAUGGAUUUUCUAUUUUAUUUUCCAGAAGAACUUCAGGAAAAAAUUGAAGGACCACAGAACUUAGAUCAAGUCCAGAAAGAAAUGGCUAGGAUGAUGGCUCUGUUCAAGGAUGAUUGGAGGAGAGAACAGUUCCAGAAUGAAGGACUUCAGGAAAAAUAUGGUAAAGCCUCUUUAUAUCCCUCACCACCCAAACACUGUAGAACACCUGUGUUCGUGGUGUGUAAAGAUAUCCAGCUUUUAACCAACGUGUCACCACUGGCUUGCCCUCUGCCAGAUCUCUGCUAUUCUAGCACAAUAUUGCCGUUAGGGACUCUCCCAUAUUCCUCCCUUCUCUGCUCUUGCAAAGCCUGUAUGUUCCAAUAUAGUUGUGGUCAAGUGUAAACUCGAGGGGCAUCCCUGCACUGACUCUGAGCACAUGACCCAAGUGUCCCCAGGUAUUCGUAGACUUCCCAUUGUUUUACCUAGGAAUUUUUAUUUAGAACCAAUGAGAGUAAUUUUCAUUCUUUCUUUUACUUCAUUGACACAGC